ACAUGGCCGUACAAUCUCGAAGAAUGGACCUCCUAUUGUUGUAGUACACGUGGUAACAAACCAACCACCAGGUCUCCCUCAAACAACGUUAGGAUCUUCACGUCCAACAGACACGUGGCACACAUGGAGAAGUGAUGCGUCAGCGGAGGAGAGCGAUAUUAACUUGGGUGAUUCAGGAAUGGAGAGUUGGGAAAGAGAACAGGGAAGCAAAGAGAGGAGGUUUUUACAUAUUCCUAAUGCUGUGGUAAAAUCAGCUCGUUCGUUCUUGAUCUCUCUAUAGUAUCUCUCCUAGGAGGGAGGGAGGGAGGGAGGGAGGGAGGGCGGAAAAACUUCCACCAUGGGGUUGUGUGAUAAGCUGCGAAGAGUUUGGAACGGCAUCGCUUUGCGUCUUUGGAUUCGCAAACGCGGACUACUGAAGCUACGGCAUGAUGUAAGAGCUUGUGAGUACGCUGAUGUGCAUGUAAUGUGGAAGAUGCUGAGAAGAAAUGAAACUGAAACUGUUCAAUUCUCAAGAAAGCGCGAAAACAAAUCCUUGUGGGAUUGUUUUCACUGGGCUAGGUGCACCUCCAUAUCUUGAGCGGGCUUUCUUAUCAUCUCUUUGAAGACGAGGAAAGACUUCUCAGACAACAGUUAUCCGGAUGAUUGCGUUUGGGAUACCAGUAAUUUCUCACAAUAAAAGAGGAAGGAAGGCUCCAUGUACAAGAUAUCCUCCCUUUCCUCCGCCCCGCCGUGUGGAUAUGUUCCAUCUCUUCUUUAUCUUUAUGUGUUCAUCUCCAGCGGAAUAAACGAUGUUUUUGCGGCUAUAUAAAUUGCGUUCCAUGCUGUUGUGCUAUUGUCAUUUAUGAGUGACCUGCAUUGUAUCAUCGUCCUUUUGUUUCCA
This is a long non-coding RNA of Populus euphratica (Euphrates poplar), 880 nucleotides long. RefSeq lists it as uncharacterized. The transcript has 3 exons. The record is from RefSeq and is a predicted model, not a curated record. NCBI's taxonomy places the organism in Eukaryota, Viridiplantae, Streptophyta, Magnoliopsida, Malpighiales, Salicaceae.